UAAUACAGAGGGUGCAAGCGUUAAUCGGAAUUACUGGGCGUAAAGCGUGCGUAGACGGUUGUUUAAGUCGGAUGUGAAAUCCCCGGGCUCAACCUGGGAAUUGCAUUCGAGACUGAACAGCUAGGGUACGGAAGAGGGAAGCGGAAUUUCCGGUGUAGCAGUGAAAUGCGUAGAUAUCGGAAGGAACAUCAGUGGCGAAAGCGGCUUCCUGGUCCAGUACCGACGUUCAGGCACGAAAGCGUGGGGAGCAAACAGG
Molecule: ribosomal RNA, 256 nt
Filed under: uncultured bacterium
Lineage: Bacteria
Description: partial 16S ribosomal RNA
Rfam family: Bacterial small subunit ribosomal RNA
Source: RNAcentral